Molecule: ribosomal RNA, 254 nt
Filed under: uncultured bacterium
Lineage: Bacteria
Description: partial 16S ribosomal RNA
Rfam family: Bacterial small subunit ribosomal RNA
Source: RNAcentral
CACGUAGGGGGCGAGCGUUGUCCGGAUUUAUUGGGCGUAAAGAGCUCGUAGGCGGCUCAGUAAGUCAGGUGUGAAAACUCCAGGCUCAACCUGGAGACGCCACCUGAUACUGCUGUGGCUAGAGUCCGGUAGGGGAGCAUGGAAUUCCUGGUGUAGCGGUGAAAUGCGCAGAUAUCAGGAGGAACACCGAUGGCGAAGGCAGAUCUCUGGGCCGUAACUGACGCUGAGGAGCGAAAGCAUGGGGAGCGAACAGG